AAGAAAGGAUCUCACUCUGUCGCCCGAGCUGGAGUGCAGUAACAUGAUCAUGGCUGAUUGCAGCCUUGAAUUCCCGGGCUCAAGCAAUCCUCCCGCCUCAGCCUCCUUAGUAGCUAGGACUACAGGUGCACACCACCACUCCCAGCUUGCUUGCUUGCUUAUCUAUCUAUCUAUCUAUCUAUCUAUCUAUCUAUCUAUCUAUCUAUCUAUGGUAGAGAUGGAUCUAUCUAUCUAUCUAUCUAUCUAUGGUAGAGAUGGAUCUAUCUAUCUAUCUAUCUAUCUAUCUAUCUAUCUAUCUAUGGUAGAGAUGGAUCUAUCUAUCUAUCUAUCUAUCUAUCUAUCUAUCUAUCUAUCUAUGGUAGAGAUGGAUCUAUCUAUCUAUCUAUCUAUCUAUCUAUCUAUCUAUCUAUCUAUGGUAGAGAUGGAUCUAUCUAUCUAUCUAUCUAUCUAUCUAUCUAUCUAUCUAUCUAUCUAAGGUGGAGAUAGGGGUCUUUCUGUGUUGUCCAGGCCGGUCUCAAACUCCUGGGCUCAAGCAGUCCUCCUGCCUUGGUCUCCCAAAGUGCUAGGAUUAUAGGCAUGAGCCACCAUGCCUGGCCCAUUUUAAACAUUUUUAAGUGUGCAGUUCAGUGGCAUUAAGUACACCCACAUUGCUAUGCAGCCAUCACCACCAUCCAUCUCCAGAACUACCCCCAUUACUAAUUUAUCUACUUGUUUACUGCUGCCUCCCACAACUGGCAGCUCCAUGUGAGCAGGGGCUGUGUCUGGGUUUGCCUUGUUGCCCACUGUAUCCCAAAUGCCCAGCAUAAUGCCUGGCACAUAGUAGGUGCUCAAUAAACAUGCGUUCAAGAAACAAAAUGAGUGUCUUGUAAAGGGUAUAGGACCGUGUACAAAAACAAGAGAGCGCAACAUGUGCAUUUUUUCCACACAGCCCCAAGACAAGACCAAGCUUCCUGGCAGCCUCAGUCACCAGAUAACAAUUUCAGGUUUUGUCAAAGUCUGUGGGGGGCAAAAACGCUGAGAGUUCAGUUUCUUUCCUGGUUCCAGGCCCCUCUACAAGGUCAAGAAUGAAGAUACAUGAUCACACAAACCACCUGACAUCAACACUCACCAUUUCAACACAUCAGCUCUACCGAGAGCAACAUUUUAUCAGUUGCUGAAGGGCAGGCACAAAAAUAGACUGCAGGGAUCAAAUGCCAUCCUCAGCUGCUCUCUUGACUCUCAGGAGUGAAAGGCCCUGGCAUCCAAGGACCCCAGGGCCUGGGGACCUGAAGGCAGGGGUCAGCUGUUCCAGUAGUUCACAGAAAUUGGGAGGUGGAGCUGGGGCUGGAAUUAGGGUGCCUUACACAUCAAAAUACUCAGUCAUCAAGGUAGAUCAUAUUUUAAUGCAAUUUUAAAAUUAAUGCAAAAUAUCCACCCAAGAUUAACAAAAUACCAAAAUUCUAAGUAAAGGUGAGGUCAGUGGUGCCAAUUUUUUCCCUCUUGCCUCGGUUCCUGUAGGGCUACGCAUGGCCCCGUUGCUGUUUCUGCCUUUGUUUUAAAAUUGGAUAUUUUGUUCAGCAUGGAUAUUUAUAUCAAUUAUUUUUUAAACACUGAUAUAAAUAGGAUUGAUCUUGACGACUGAGUUUUUUAGCAUCUCCUUAAAUUUUGUGCCAGAGCCAAGUGCCUCCUUUGCCUUACCUUAGCCCUCACCUGGGCGGGAUUAGAUGGAGAAAGUUACUGUUCAUGCAGGUGACUAAAAUGGGACCAUGUCUCGGGUCACGCCAUUUAGUGGGGCCUCAGUUUCAACAUCUCUGCAAUGGGGCCCAUAACCUCCUAGUUGCUGUGGAAUUGCUCCAGCCCUCAUGAGGUAUUUAGGAAAACUGUAAAAUGCUUAUAAGAAACUCUCCAGGAACUGUUAUUAAAUUCUUCUCAAAGAUGGUGAAUGGCCUGCCAGGAUGGGGGGUGGCAUUCAGCUUUGAGGUGAGUUACAAAACACGUGCCCUAUUUCUAAUGAAAGGAGUGAAGUUAGUGAAA
Molecule: long non-coding RNA, 2013 nt
Filed under: Homo sapiens (human)
Lineage: Eukaryota; Metazoa; Chordata; Mammalia; Primates; Hominidae
Description: non-protein coding lnc-PDE6A-1:1
Source: RNAcentral